RNAcentral lists this ribosomal RNA (1215 nucleotides) under Curtobacterium oceanosedimentum. RNAcentral describes it as "bacterial SSU rRNA". The record is from RNAcentral. Lineage: Bacteria; Bacillati; Actinomycetota; Actinomycetes; Micrococcales; Microbacteriaceae.
UGGGAUCAGCGUUGGAAACGACGUCUAAUACUGGAUAGGACUACUGGCCGCAUGGUCUGGUGGUGGAAAGAUUUUUUGGUUGGGGAUGGACUCGCGGCCUAUCAGCUUGUUGGUGAGGUAAUGGCUCACCAAGGCGACGACGGGUAGCCGGCCUGAGAGGGUGACCGGCCACACUGGGACUGAGACACGGCCCAGACUCCUACGGGAGGCAGCAGUGGGGAAUAUUGCACAAUGGGCGAAAGCCUGAUGCAGCAACGCCGCGUGAGGGAUGACGGCCUUCGGGUUGUAAACCUCUUUUAGUAGGGAAGAAGCGAAAGUGACGGUACCUGCAGAAAAAGCACCGGCUAAYUACGUGCCAGCAGCCGCGGUAAUACGUAGGGUGCAAGCGUUGUCCGGAAUUAUUGGGCGUAAAGAGCUCGUAGGCGGUUUGUCGCGUCUGCUGUGAAAUCCCGAGGCUCAACCUCGGGCUUGCAGUGGGUACGGGCAGACUAGAGUGCGGUAGGGGAGAUUGGAAUUCCUGGUGUAGCGGUGGAAUGCGCAGAUAUCAGGAGGAACACCGAUGGCGAAGGCAGAUCUCUGGGCCGUAACUGACGCUGAGGAGCGAAAGCAUGGGGAGCGAACAGGAUUAGAUACCCUGGUAGUCCAUGCCGUAAACGUUGGGCGCUAGAUGUAGGGACCUUUCCACGGUUUCUGUGUCGUAGCUAACGCAUUAAGCGCCCCGCCUGGGGAGUACGGCCGCAAGGCUAAAACUCAAAGGAAUUGACGGGGGCCCGCACAAGCGGCGGAGCAUGCGGAUUAAUUCGAUGCAACGCGAAGAACCUUACCAAGGCUUGACAUACACCGGAAACGGCCAGAGAUGGUCGCCCCCUUGUGGUCGGUGUACAGGUGGUGCAUGGUUGUCGUCAGCUCGUGUCGUGAGAUGUUGGGUUAAGUCCCGCAACGAGCGCAACCCUCGUUCUAUGUUGCCAGCGCGUUAUGGCGGGGACUCAUAGGAGACUGCCGGGGUCAACUCGGAGGAAGGUGGGGAUGACGUCAAAUCAUCAUGCCCCUUAUGUCUUGGGCUUCACGCAUGCUACAAUGGCCGGUACAAAGGGCUGCGAUACCGUAAGGUGGAGCGAAUCCCAAAAAGCCGGUCUCAGUUCGGAUUGAGGUCUGCAACUCGACCUCAUGAAGUCGGAGUCGCUAGUAAUCGCAGAUCAGCAACGCUGCGAGGAA